GUAAUAGUGGCCGAUUUAAGGUAUUAGUCUCUUAAAUUAAUUAUGAAUAAAUUAGUUCAUUUAAAAUU
RNAcentral lists this transfer RNA (68 nucleotides) under Cyrtarachne nagasakiensis. RNAcentral describes it as "tRNA-Lys". Lineage: Eukaryota; Metazoa; Arthropoda; Arachnida; Araneae; Araneidae. The record is from RNAcentral.